Molecule: ribosomal RNA, 498 nt
Filed under: uncultured bacterium
Lineage: Bacteria
Description: partial 16S ribosomal RNA
Rfam family: Bacterial small subunit ribosomal RNA
Source: RNAcentral
GACGAACGCUGGCGGCGUGCCUAAUACAUGCAAGUCGAGCGGACGAAUCGAAAGCUUGCUUUUGAUUCGUUAGCGGCGGACGGGUGAGUAACACGUGGGCAACCUGCCCUGUAGACGGGGAUAACACCGAGAAAUCGGUGCUAAUACCGGAUAACACGAAAUGUCGCAUGACGUUUCGUUGAAAGACGGCGCAAGCUGCCGCUACAGGAUGGGCCCGCGGCGCAUUAGCUAGUUGGUGAGGUAACGGCUCACCAAGGCGACGAUACGUAGCCGACCUGAGAGGGUGAUCGGCCACACUGGGACUGAGACACGGCCCAGACUCCUACGGGAGGCAACAGUAGGGAAUCUUCCGCAAUGGACGAAAGUCUGACGGAGCAACGCCGCGUGAGCGAAGAAGGCCUUCGGGUCGUAAAGCUCUGUUGUUAGGGAAGAACAAGUAACGCAGUAACUGGCGUUACCGUGACGGUACCUAACGAGAAAGCCACGGCUAACUACGUG